UGUGGACGACGUCAAGUCAUCAUGGCCCUUAUGCCCAGGGCGACACACGUGCUACAAUGGCAUAUACAAUGAGACGCAAUACCGCGAGGUGGAGCAAAUCUAUAAAAUAUGUCCCAGUUCGGAUUGUUCUCUGCAACUCGAGAGCAUGAAGCCGGAAUCGCUAGUAAUCGUAGAUCAGCCAUGCUACGGUGAAUACGUUCCCGGGUCUUGUACUCACCGCCCGUCACACCAUGGGAGUUGAUUUCACUCGAAGCCGGAAUACUAAACUAGUUACCGUCCACAGUGGAAUCAGCGACUGGGGUGAAGUCGUAACAAGGUAACCGUAGGAGAACCUGCGGUUGGAUCACCUCCUUUCUAG
This 358-nucleotide ribosomal RNA is filed under the name Campylobacter jejuni. Its description in RNAcentral is "bacterial SSU rRNA". It matches the Rfam family "Bacterial small subunit ribosomal RNA", at positions 1174 to 1533 of the family's 1533-position model. Lineage: Bacteria; Pseudomonadati; Campylobacterota; Epsilonproteobacteria; Campylobacterales; Campylobacteraceae. The record is from RNAcentral.